UGGCCCAAUAAUUCUGCUUCUGAAUACACGUGUUGAAGAGAUUCUCACACAUAUCCACAGGGUGCCUGUGCAGCAGUAUUCACUGUGAUAGGAAGUGAGAAGCAGUCUGAGUGUUCAUUGCUGAGGGAAUCAAGGGCAAAAUAUCAUGGAUGCACUCAUGGACAAAUAAGCAGCAGUUUGAAGCAACAACCUAGAUGGAUGUACAGCCAUCAAGAGGAUCUUAAAGUGUGGUCUUUAGUGGAAAAAAAGGUUACAUUUGAACAUAUUUAUCUGCUAAAGCAAAAUAAUUCCCAUCAUUCUAUAGCAGAAGCAAUGUAUGGGAGACUGAGUAAUUACAUAUAAGCUCACAUCACUAUCUCUUCCACCACUGUCAUCCAUCAUGACUGAUCUGGGAGAUGAAACAGCACAGAUCUAAAGGACGUGGAAGAAAGAAGCUUAUAAAGUGUCCAUCAUGAGAAUCCACCUGGGACCUACACAACAGAUCAAAUACCCAGAACAAAUCACCAAGUCAGAGCCCCACAGAAUUCUGAUUCCCAACCAGCAAGCAUGAAUAAUCCUUUUAAAUGGUCACUUACAUAUCAGAACAGGUCCUUUGUGAAAUUUCUAAGCAAGGCCUCUGGUUUCUGACUGAAACAGAGAUUUAUUGAGAAGGAGGGGUAAAGUGAA
Molecule: long non-coding RNA, 666 nt
Filed under: Homo sapiens (human)
Lineage: Eukaryota; Metazoa; Chordata; Mammalia; Primates; Hominidae
Description: HSALNT0352606
Source: RNAcentral